Molecule: ribosomal RNA, 490 nt
Filed under: uncultured bacterium
Lineage: Bacteria
Description: partial 16S ribosomal RNA
Rfam family: Bacterial small subunit ribosomal RNA
Source: RNAcentral
AUUGAACGCUGGCGGCAUGCCUUACACAUGCAAGUCGAACGGCAGCAUGAUCUAGCUUGCUAGAUUGAUGGCGAGUGGCGAACGGGUGAGUAAUACAUCGGAACGUGCCCUGUAGUGGGGGAUAACUAGUCGAAAGAUUAGCUAAUACCGCAUACGACCUGAGGGUGAAAGUGGGGGACCGCAAGGCCUCAUGCUAUAGGAGCGGCCGAUGUCUGAUUAGCUAGUUGGUGAGGUAAAGGCUCACCAAGGCGACGAUCAGUAGCUGGUCUGAGAGGACGAUCAGCCACACUGGGACUGAGACACGGCCCAGACUCCUACGGGAGGCAGCAGUGGGGAAUUUUGGACAAUGGGCGAAAGCCUGAUCCAGCAAUGCCGCGUGUGUGAAGAAGGCCUUCGGGUUGUAAAGCACUUUUGUCCGGAAAGAAAUGGCUCUGGUUAAUACCUGGGGUCGAUGACGGUACUGGAAGAAUAAGGACCGGCUAACUACGUG